RNAcentral lists this ribosomal RNA (1554 nucleotides) under Neisseria elongata subsp. glycolytica ATCC 29315. RNAcentral describes it as "bacterial SSU rRNA". It matches the Rfam family "Bacterial small subunit ribosomal RNA". The record is from RNAcentral. Lineage: Bacteria; Pseudomonadati; Pseudomonadota; Betaproteobacteria; Neisseriales; Neisseriaceae.
AGAGAUUGAACAUAAGAGUUUGAUCCUGGCUCAGAUUGAACGCUGGCGGCAUGCUUUACACAUGCAAGUCGGACGGCAGCGGGGUAGUGCUUGCACUACUGCCGGCGAGUGGCGAACGGGUGAGUAAUAUAUUGGAACGUACCGAGUAAUGGGGGAUAACCAAUCGAAAGAUUGGCUAAUACCGCAUACGCUCUGAGGAGGAAAGCAGGGGACCUUCGGGCCUUGCGUUAUUCGAGCGGCCAAUAUCUGAUUAGCUAGUUGGUGGGGUAAAGGCCUACCAAGGCGACGAUCAGUAGCGGGUCUGAGAGGAUGAUCCGCCACACUGGGACUGAGACACGGCCCAGACUCCUACGGGAGGCAGCAGUGGGGAAUUUUGGACAAUGGGCGCAAGCCUGAUCCAGCCAUGCCGCGUGUCUGAAGAAGGCCUUCGGGUUGUAAAGGACUUUUGUUAGGGAAGAAAAAGGAACGGUUAAUACCCGUUUCUGCUGACGGUACCUAAAGAAUAAGCACCGGCUAACUACGUGCCAGCAGCCGCGGUAAUACGUAGGGUGCGAGCGUUAAUCGGAAUUACUGGGCGUAAAGCGAGCGCAGACGGUUACUUAAGCAGGAUGUGAAAUCCCCGGGCUCAACCUGGGAACUGCGUUCUGAACUGGGUAGCUAGAGUAUGUCAGAGGGGGGUAGAAUUCCACGUGUAGCAGUGAAAUGCGUAGAGAUGUGGAGGAAUACCGAUGGCGAAGGCAGCCCCCUGGGAUAAUACUGACGUUCAUGCUCGAAAGCGUGGGUAGCAAACAGGAUUAGAUACCCUGGUAGUCCACGCCCUAAACGAUGUCGAUUAGCUGUUGGGCAGCUUGACUGCUUAGUAGCGUAGCUAACGCGUGAAAUCGACCGCCUGGGGAGUACGGUCGCAAGAUUAAAACUCAAAGGAAUUGACGGGGACCCGCACAAGCGGUGGAUGAUGUGGAUUAAUUCGAUGCAACGCGAAGAACCUUACCUGGUCUUGACAUGUACGGAACCUUCCAGAGACGGAAGGGUGCCUUCGGGAGCCGUAACACAGGUGCUGCAUGGCUGUCGUCAGCUCGUGUCGUGAGAUGUUGGGUUAAGUCCCGCAACGAGCGCAACCCUUGUCAUUAGUUGCCAUCAUUUAGUUGGGCACUCUAAUGAGACUGCCGGUGACAAACCGGAGGAAGGUGGGGAUGACGUCAAGUCCUCAUGGCCCUUAUGACCAGGGCUUCACACGUCAUACAAUGGUCGGUACAAAGGGUAGCCAAGCCGCGAGGCGGAGCCAAUCUCAUAAAACCGAUCGUAGUCCGGAUUGCACUCUGCAACUCGAGUGCAUGAAGUCGGAAUCGCUAGUAAUCGCAGGUCAGCAUACUGCGGUGAAUACGUUCCCGGGUCUUGUACACACCGCCCGUCACACCAUGGGAGUGGGGGAUACCAGAAGUAGGUAGGGUAACCGUAAGGAGCCCGCUUACCACGGUAUGCUUCAUGACUGGGGUGAAGUCGUAACAAGGUAGCCGUAGGGGAACCUGCGGCUGGAUCACCUCCUUUCUAGAG